UCUAGUCCUCUGUGGGGUAUGGCCCUGAGCUUCUGCUCCCUGGGCCUGAGGGGUGGGCUGGUCCCUGACCUCAGCUGUGGAGCAGGAGGCCCAAUUCUCGCUGGUAGAUGGCCUUGGGCUCCGUCCAGUGGCUUCCAUUGUUGAAUGGGCGGCUCAGGUCUCCAGCUUCCCCUCCCCUCCCUGCUGGUGGCCCGCCCCCACUCUUCCAAAUGUGUAGGAAGCAGGAUCCCAAAUCCACUUUCCUUCCCCCAGUUUAGUUUCUCCGAAGGCUGCUGUAGGUCUUUCAAAUUGCAGUUGCCUCCUGCGUUCUAAAAUGCCAUCUUCCUCUCCACUUCCC
RNAcentral lists this long non-coding RNA (337 nucleotides) under Marmota monax (woodchuck). The record is from RNAcentral. Lineage: Eukaryota; Metazoa; Chordata; Mammalia; Rodentia; Sciuridae.